AGGGAGAGAAGUAUGGAAGCUGGUUUGCUGGGGCCACCCAGGGUGGGCUCAGGAAGGGAAGGAAUGUGACUGAGGCUGGGUGGGGCUGAGGAGAGCACAGCCAGUUGUGGGUUUUUCCUGAGGCCCAGAGAGACAUGAAUGGAUGCGGAAGCCCCUUGCUCCCAGCCCCCAGCACACACACUAGGACCUUUCUUCA
RNAcentral lists this long non-coding RNA (196 nucleotides) under Jaculus jaculus (lesser Egyptian jerboa). RNAcentral describes it as "KCNQ1 overlapping transcript 1 conserved region 2 (ENSJJAG00000001754.1)". It matches the Rfam family "KCNQ1 overlapping transcript 1 conserved region 2". Lineage: Eukaryota; Metazoa; Chordata; Mammalia; Rodentia; Dipodidae. The record is from RNAcentral.